RNAcentral lists this ribosomal RNA (445 nucleotides) under uncultured bacterium. RNAcentral describes it as "partial 16S ribosomal RNA". It matches the Rfam family "Bacterial small subunit ribosomal RNA", at positions 354 to 796 of the family's 1533-position model. The record is from RNAcentral.
GUGAGGAAUAUUGCGCAAUGGAGGCAACUCUGACGCAGCCAUGCCGCGUGCAGGAAGAAGGCGCUACGCGUUGUAAACUGCUUUUAACCGGGAAGAAACCCCAGGACGUGUCCUGGGUUGACGGUACCGGAGGAAUAAGCACCGGCUAACUUCGUGCCAGCAGCCGCGGUAAUACGAAGGGUGCAAGCGUUAUCCGGAAUCAUUGGGUUUAAAGGGUGCGUAGGCGGAGCGUUAAGUCAGUGGUGAAAUCCUGCAGCUUAACUGUAGACUUGCCAUUGAUACUGGCGCUCUUGAGUGCGCUUGAAGUGGGCGGAAUGUGCCGUGUAGCGGUGAAAUGCUUAGAUAUGGCACAGAACACCAAUUGCGAAGGCAGCUCACUAAGGCGAUACUGACGCUGAGGCACGAAAGCGUGGGGAUCGAACAGGAUUAGAAACCCGUGUAGUCC